RNAcentral lists this ribosomal RNA (289 nucleotides) under uncultured bacterium. Its description in RNAcentral is "partial 16S ribosomal RNA". It matches the Rfam family "Bacterial small subunit ribosomal RNA", at positions 773 to 1060 of the family's 1533-position model. The record is from RNAcentral.
GUGGAUUAGAUACCCGAGUAGUCCACGCCCUAAACGAUGCGAACUGGACGUUGGGAGCAACUUGGCUCUCAGUGUCGAAGCUAACGCGUUAAGUUCGCCGCCUGGGGAGUACGGUCGCAAGACUGAAACUCAAAGGAAUUGACGGGGGCCCGCACAAGCGGUGGAGUAUGUGGUUUAAUUCGAUGCAACGCGAAGAACCUUACCUGGCCUUGACAUGUCCGGAAUCCUGCGGAGACGCGGGAGUGCCUUCGGGAAUCGGAACACAGGUGCUGCACGGCUGUCGCCAGCU